GAAAAGGCAAUGAAGAGAAAUAGUACAUAUACAAUGAAUUUCAGAGAGAAGAUGGUUGGUGCGAAUCUUUAUUUUAGUAUAUCGAAGCAGUCUCGGAGCUUUGAACCGAAUAAUGGUUUCCCUGAUACCAGGGAGAUGGUUUAGUAGGCUUCAACGUAUUCCCACGUUACAGGGGCACGAUAUGCUUGUAUCGUAGAGAGUGCAGAGAUUUCUCUGAAUUUAGGUGGUAACACGGAUUGUACAUUCGCCCUAAAC
Molecule: non-coding RNA, 255 nt
Filed under: Lacrimispora celerecrescens
Lineage: Bacteria; Bacillati; Bacillota; Clostridia; Lachnospirales; Lachnospiraceae
Description: Clostridium celerecrescens T-box sequence
Rfam family: T-box leader
About the family: Uncharged tRNA acts as the effector for transcription antitermination of genes in the T-box leader family. T-boxes are found upstream of many aminoacyl-tRNA synthetase genes and some amino acid biosynthetic genes usually in Gram-positive bacteria. The anticodon of a specific tRNA base pairs to a specifier sequence within the T-box motif, and the NCCA acceptor tail of the tRNA base pairs to a conserved bulge in the T-box antiterminator hairpin.
Source: RNAcentral